This 637-nucleotide long non-coding RNA is filed under the name Cairina moschata (Muscovy duck). RNAcentral's name for it is "domestica (muscovy Duck (domestic type)) lncRNA (ENSCMMG00000006547.1)". Lineage: Eukaryota; Metazoa; Chordata; Aves; Anseriformes; Anatidae. The record is from RNAcentral.
UCGCCGCCUUCGACCCGCACCAACUGGGCAAGUACCGGGGCCGGCCCGGCAAGCGCGCCCGGGGACGGGGACGGAGCCGACCCCAAACCCAAUCCCAAUCCCAAACCCAGCGGCCCCAGAGACCCCGACGGGGGACGGCGGAGAAGGUGAGGGGACAACGGGGUCAGCGGGGUCCUUUUGGGGUCAGCGGGGUCCUUUUGGGGUCAUUCGGGUCCCUGUAGGGUCAUUGGGGUCCCUUGGGGUCAUUGGGGUCCCUUUAGGGUCGUUGGAGGUAUUUGGGGUCGUUGGGGUCCCUUUGGGGUCGUUGGGAACAUUUGGGGUCAUUGGGGUCCUUUUGGGGUUGUUGGGGUCCUUUUGGGGUCGUUGGGGACAUUUGGGGUCAUCGGGGUCCCUUGGGGUCACUGGGGUCCCUUUGGGGUUAUUGGGGUCCCUUUGGGGUCCUGUGACCCUUUUGGGGUCCCUUUUAGGGUCCUGGUGUCCUUUUGGGUUCUUGGGGUCCCUUUUGGGGUCCUGUGUCCAUUUUGGGAUUCCUGGGUCCUAUUGGGUUCCUGGGGUCUCUUUUGGGGUUCCAGGACCCUUUUGGGGUCCCGGGGUCCCUUUGGGGUCCCGUGACCCUUUUGGGGUCCCUUUUAGGGUC